GAUGAACGCUGGCGGCGUGCCUAAUACAUGCAAGUAGAACGCUGAAGCAGUAGCUUGCUGUUCUGGCUGAGUGGCGAACGGGUGAGUAACGCGUAGGUAACCUGCCCUGUAGCUUGGGAUAACUUUUGGAAACGAUAGCUAAUACCGCAUGACAACAGUUCUUGCAUGAUAACUGUUUGAAAGUGGCACCUGCUCCACUACCAGAUGGAGCUGCGUUGUAUUAGCUAAGUGGUGAGGUAACGGCUCACCAAGGCGGCGGUACAUCAGCGACCUGAGAGGGGGGACGGGCCCAAUUGGACUGGAGCACGGGCCCAACCCCUUAGGGGGGCAGCAGUAGGGGAUCAUCGGAAAAGGGGGGAAGGCUGACCGAAGAACGCCGGGGGAGUGAAGAAGGGUUUCGGAGUGGAAAAGUCUGUUGUAAGGGAAGGAAGAGUGGGAGGGUGGAAAGUUCACGUUGUGACGGUAUCUAACGAGAAAGGGACGGCUAACUACGUG
RNAcentral lists this ribosomal RNA (495 nucleotides) under uncultured bacterium. RNAcentral's name for it is "partial 16S ribosomal RNA". It matches the Rfam family "Bacterial small subunit ribosomal RNA", at positions 28 to 507 of the family's 1533-position model. The record is from RNAcentral.